GAUGAACGCUCGCUACAGGCUUAACACAUGCAAGUCGAGGGGAAACGCCAUCGAAAGCUUGCUUUUGAUGGGCGUCGACCGGCGCACGGGUGAGUAACGCGUAUCCAACCUGCCCAUCACUUGGGAAUAACCUUGCGAAAGUAAGACUAAUACCCAAUGACAUCCCACGAAGACAUCUGAAUGGGAUUAAAGAUUUAUCGGUGAUGGAUGGGGAUGCGUCUGAUUAGCUUGUUGGCGGGGUAACGGCCCACCAAGGCAACGAUCAGUAGGGGUUCUGAGAGGAAGGUCCCCCACAUUGGAACUGAGACACGGUCCAAACUCCUACGGGAGGCAGCAGUGAGGAAUAUUGGUCAAUGGGCGAGAGCCUGAACCAGCCAAGUAGCGUGCAGGAUGACGGCCCUAUGGGUUGUAAACUGCUUUUAUAAGGGAAUAAAGUGGGUCUCGUGAGACUUUUUGCAUGUACCUUAUGAAUAAGAACCGGCUAAUUCCGUG
This 492-nucleotide ribosomal RNA is filed under the name uncultured bacterium. RNAcentral's name for it is "partial 16S ribosomal RNA". It matches the Rfam family "Bacterial small subunit ribosomal RNA", at positions 28 to 507 of the family's 1533-position model. The record is from RNAcentral.